UACGUAGGGGGCUAGCGUUGUCCGGAAUCAUUGGGCGUAAAGAGCGCGUAGGCGGCCAGAUAAGUCCGGUGUGAAAGUCAAAGGCUCAACCUUUGAAUGCCGCUGGAAACUGUCUGGCUAGAGUCCGGGAGGGGCGAGUGGAAUUCCUGGUGUAGCGGUGAAAUGCGCAGAUAUCAGGAGGAACACCAAUGGCGAAGGCAGCUCGCUGGAACGGUACUGACGCUGAUGUGCGAAAGCGUGGGGAGCAAACAGG
This 253-nucleotide ribosomal RNA is filed under the name uncultured bacterium. RNAcentral describes it as "partial 16S ribosomal RNA". It matches the Rfam family "Bacterial small subunit ribosomal RNA", at positions 524 to 776 of the family's 1533-position model. The record is from RNAcentral.